CGAAGACGGCCUUCAAAUUCCGCUUCACCUCCCUCCGCCUCGCGCACAAAAGCGGGGGAGGAAGGAGGGGAUGAAGUCAAAUCAGCAUGGCCCUCUGAUGCCCUGGGCUACACACAUGUUACAAUGGUCGGGACAAUGGGCUGCCAAGCCGCAAGGCGGAGCUAAUCCCAUCAAACCUGGCCUCAGUUCGGAUUGAGGGCUGCAACCUGCCCUCAUGAAGCCGGAAUCGCUAGUAAUCGCAGAUCAGCUAUGCUGCGGUGAAUACGUUCUCGAGUCCUGUACUCACUGCCCGUCACUUUAAGGGAGCCGGUAAUAGGUGAAAUCUCCUCACGGGGAUCAGCCUGAGAUCGGUGACAUGAAAGAAGUCGUAACAAGGCACCGGUAGCGGAAGCUGUCGGUGGAUCAAUUAAACA
This 413-nucleotide ribosomal RNA is filed under the name Patescibacteria group bacterium. RNAcentral describes it as "bacterial SSU rRNA". It matches the Rfam family "Bacterial small subunit ribosomal RNA", at positions 1120 to 1533 of the family's 1533-position model. The record is from RNAcentral.